Molecule: non-coding RNA, 72 nt
Organism: Ornithorhynchus anatinus (platypus)
Lineage: Eukaryota; Metazoa; Chordata; Mammalia; Monotremata; Ornithorhynchidae
Source: Rfam
AGCAGAGUGGCUCAGUGGAUAGAGCACCAGCCUGGGAAUCAGAAGGACCUGGGUUCCAUCCCAACUCCGCUA